GGGGACGUAGCUCAGUUGGAAGAGCGCCGGCUUUGCAAGCCGGAGGUCGCCGGUUCGAUCCCGGUCGUCUCCACCA
This 76-nucleotide transfer RNA is filed under the name Actinomycetota bacterium. RNAcentral describes it as "tRNA-Ala". It matches the Rfam family "tRNA". Rfam says of the family: Transfer RNA (tRNA) molecules are approximately 80 nucleotides in length. Their secondary structure includes four short double-helical elements and three loops (D, anti-codon, and T loops). RNAcentral also lists the same sequence under 1 other name. The record is from RNAcentral. Lineage: Bacteria; Bacillati; Actinomycetota.